This is a long non-coding RNA of Equus quagga, 697 nucleotides long. RefSeq lists it as uncharacterized. The record is from RefSeq and is a predicted model, not a curated record. Lineage: Eukaryota; Metazoa; Chordata; Mammalia; Perissodactyla; Equidae. The transcript has 5 exons.
UAGGAGGCGAGGCCAUACAUUCGAUAUUGGUGGGUUGCCCUUCUUUUAGAGGUUACUUUUUACUUCCUUGUAAGGUACAGUCCAACAGCGGCUUAGUUAUGAAGCUUACGAAUAUUGAUCGUAUUACUUGACAAGAGCACCCAGUGAUGAUAUGCUCGCUUAAGGAAAUCCAGGAAAUACGGAAAAAAUGCAAAAGAGAAAACUAAAAGGCCCAAACCUUAGGGAGAAUUACUAUUAAUAUUUGCCCGUGGAUGUCCUCCUUUGUGAAAUGCCUGUUCAAGGCUUCUGCCUAUUUUCCUCUUCAGUUAUCUGCUUUUCAUGCUGGGGGCGGUUGGAAGAGGAGGAGUAGCGUAAGAGUUCUUUGUGUCAUUGGAUGAGUUCUCCGUCAGACCACUUGAUCUGGAGGAAGCCAGCUGCCAUAGCAUGAGGACAGUUAGUGGACUAUGAAGAGGCCCAGGUGGUUAGGAAGUGAGGACCUCUGCGAACAGCUGAAGAAGAACUGGCCUUUUGUCAACAGUUCCGUGAGUAAGCCAUCUUGGAAGCAGAUUCAACAGCCCCAGGCAAGCUUUUGGAUGACUGCAGCCCUACCUGACACCUUGAUUGGAGCCUUGUGAGACCCUGAGCCAGAACCCACCCAUCUAAGCUCCUCUUGGACCCUUGACCUCAGAAGCUGUAUGAGAUAAUAAAUGUUUGCUGC